AAGUCGUAACAAGGUUUCCGUAGGUGAACCUGCGGAAGGAUCAUUAUUUGAUCUAAAUCGGAGGUUGUUUUUUUGGCUCUGGCUGAAAAAAUACCGCCCUUUUUCCUUUGUGAACUGUUCUUUUGUACUGUUGCAAUUUUUUUUUUUUUAAAAAAAGUUGUGUUUUCCGCAAGGAAAAUGAAAAUAAAGACAACUUUCAGCAAUGGAUCUCUUGGCUCUU
This 220-nucleotide unclassified non-coding RNA is filed under the name fungal sp. RNAcentral describes it as "partial internal transcribed spacer region". The stretch from base 1 to 46 matches the Rfam family "Eukaryotic small subunit ribosomal RNA", at positions 1786 to 1831 of the family's 1831-position model. The record is from RNAcentral. Lineage: Eukaryota; Fungi.